RNAcentral lists this ribosomal RNA (505 nucleotides) under uncultured Geobacter sp. RNAcentral's name for it is "bacterial SSU rRNA". It matches the Rfam family "Bacterial small subunit ribosomal RNA", at positions 335 to 831 of the family's 1533-position model. Lineage: Bacteria; Pseudomonadati; Thermodesulfobacteriota; Desulfuromonadia; Geobacterales; Geobacteraceae. The record is from RNAcentral.
ACUCCUACGGGAGGCAGCAGUGGGGAAUUUUGCGCAAUGGGGGAAACCCUGACGCAGCAACGCCGCGUGAGUGAUGAAGGCCCUUGGGUCGUAAAGCUCUGACAGAGGGAAAGAAAUGCAGGGGGGCUAAUAUCCUUUCUGCUUGACGGUACCCUCAAAGGAAGCACCGGCUAACUCCGUGCCAGGAGCCGCGGUAAUACGGGGGGUGCAAGCGUUGUUCGGAUUUAUUGGGCGUAAAGCGCGUGUAGGCGGUUUUUUAAGUCUGAUGUGAAAGCCCUGGGCUCAACCUGGGAAGUGCAUUGGAUACUGGAAGACUUGAAUACGGGAGAGGGCAGUGGAAUUCCUGGUGUAGGAGUGAAAUCCGUAGAUAUCAGGAGGAACACCGGUGGCGAAGGCGGCUGGCUGGACCGAUAUUGACGCUGAGACGCGAAAGCGUGGGUAGCAAACAGGAUUAGAUACCCUGGUAGUCCACGCCGUAAACGAUGAGAACUAGGUGUUGCGGGUA